AACGCAUAUUGCGCUCGAGACUUCGGUCGAGAGCAUGUCUGUCUCAGCGUCGGCUCACCCCUCGCCCCUCCCCUUUUCAUUCGAAAGAGGUUGGCGGCGGACGUGGCCGUCUCGUUUCCUUUUUUGGAGACGGGUCGGCUGAAGUGCAGGGCUCGCGGCGCGACUCUUUCAAAAGAGCGCCAGCAUGGUAGGUGGCUUCACGCUGCAUGCCGCUGUCGUUCGACCGGAGAGCUCCAAUGCCGCUCGGCCAUAAGCAGGAAUUUUUUCGGACGGCCCUCAAAAGCCGAUCGGAAAUUCAAACCUUCGACCUGAGAUCAGACAAGACCACCCGCUGAACUUAA
Molecule: unclassified non-coding RNA, 341 nt
Filed under: uncultured fungus
Lineage: Eukaryota; Fungi
Description: partial contains 5.8S ribosomal RNA, internal transcribed spacer 2, and large subunit ribosomal RNA
Source: RNAcentral